RNAcentral lists this non-coding RNA (27 nucleotides) under Bombyx mori (domestic silkworm). The record is from RNAcentral. Lineage: Eukaryota; Metazoa; Arthropoda; Insecta; Lepidoptera; Bombycidae.
ACAAUGUGUACUGCAUCAAUGGGCUGA